GAUGAACGCUGGCGGCGUGCCUAAUACAUGCAAGUCGAGCGAACAGAUGAGGAGCUUGCUCCUCUGACGUUAGCGGCGGACGGGUGAGUAACACGUGGAUAACCUACCUAUAAGACUGGGAUAACUUCGGGAAACCGGAGCUAAUACCGGAUAAUAUAUUGAACCGCAUGGUUCAAUAGUUAAAGACGGUUUUGCUGUCACUGAUAGAUGUAUCCGCGCCGCAUUAGCUAGUUGGUAAGGUAACGGCUUACCAAGGCAACGAUGCGUAGCCGACCUGAGAGGGUGAUCGGCCACACUGGAACUGAGACGCGGUACAGACUCCUACGGGAGGCAGCAGUAGGGAAUCUUCCGAAAUGGGCGAAAGCCUGAAGGAGCAACGCCGCGUGAGUGAUGAAGGUCUUCGGAUCGUAAAACUCUGUUAUUAGGGAAGAACAAAUGUGUAAGUAACUAUGCACGUCUUGACGGUACCUAAUCAGAAAGCCACGGCUAACUACGUG
Molecule: ribosomal RNA, 497 nt
Filed under: uncultured bacterium
Lineage: Bacteria
Description: partial 16S ribosomal RNA
Rfam family: Bacterial small subunit ribosomal RNA
Source: RNAcentral